Molecule: long non-coding RNA, 503 nt
Filed under: Mus pahari (shrew mouse)
Lineage: Eukaryota; Metazoa; Chordata; Mammalia; Rodentia; Muridae
Description: lncRNA (MGP_PahariEiJ_G0004097.1)
Source: RNAcentral
UUGCUAGGCCUUCACUUAAGGCUUGGUAGAACUUGGCAGUGAAUCCACCUGGUUCUGAGUUUUUCUUUGCAGAAGAUCACGGAAGUGGAACUGUGCAUCAUUUAGCUUUUCGAGACUGGGUUCUUCUGCUCAACAUCAUGCCUUUGAGAUUUUUCUCAGACAACCCAGGUAUCGUAGAUUGUGCCUCUUUAUUCCUAAGGAGCAUGGCAGCCUCUGUGGUGCUGGUACCAGCGCAUGCUACCUGCUGCCUGUCUUUGACACCGUGUUUGUGAGGAGGAAGAGCCGUUGCCAAGGCCUGGGGACAGCCAUGCUGAGGGACUUCUGUGACACCUUUCAAGGAGACGAAGCUCUGGGUAUCAGUUGUCCGAUCUCUCCUGCAAUGUACAGAGUCCUCAGGCAGUUCCUGUUGACCUGUCCAGGCGAGAGAGGGCGCUUGUGGGAGGUGGAGCCCCCAGGGGCCUGGGGCCAGCGUGUUAACAUCUGGCUCAAGGUUUAUCUUCAGG